UAAGUACCGAAGUCCCUGAUUUCACACUGCCAAGAAAAGCGUCUAGCGAGGAACAAGGUGCCCGUACCGCAAACCGACACAGGUAGGCGAGGAGAGAAUCCUAAGGUGCGCGGGAUAACUCUUGCUAAGGAACUCGGCAAAAUGGCCCCGUAACUUCGGGAGAAGGGGCGCCUCGGUAGGGUUUAUAGCCCGAGGAGGCCGCAGUGAAAAGGCCCAAGCGACUGUUUAGCAAAAACACAGGUCUCUGCGAAGCCGCAAGGCGAAGUAUAGGGGCUGACGCCUGCCCGGUGCUGGAAGGUUAAGGGGAUGGGUUAGCGCAAGCGAAGCUUUGAACCGAAGCCCCAGUAAACGGCGGCCGUAACUAUAACGGUCCUAAGGUAGCGAAAUUCCUUGUCGGGUAAGUUCCGACCCGCACGAAAGGCGUAACGACUUGGGCGCUGUCUCGGCAAGAGACCCGGUGAAAUCAUAAUACCUGUGAAGAUGCAGGUUACCCGCGACAAGACGGAAAGACCCCAUGGAGCUUUACUGUAGCCUGGUAUUGAAACUUUGUGCAUCAUGUACAGAAUAGGUGGGAAGCUGUGAAGCGAGGGCGCCAGCCUUCGUGGAGCUGUCGUUGGGAUACCACCCUUGAUGUACGGAGUUUCUAACUUGCCGCCCUUAUCGGGUGGAAGGACCAUGCCAGGUGGGCAGUUUGACUGGGGCGGUCGCCUCCUAAAGAGUAACGGAGGCGCCCAAAGGUUCCCUCAGAAUGGUCGGAAAUCAUUCGUAGAGUGUAAAGGCACAAGGGAGCUUGACUGCGAGACCUACAAGUCGAGCAGGGACGAAAGUCGGGCUUAGUGAUCCGGUGGUUCCGCAUGGAAGGGCCAUCGCUCAACGGAUAAAAGCUACCCUGGGGAUAACAGGCUUAUCUCCCCCAAGAGUCCACAUCGACGGGGAGGUUUGGCACCUCGAUGUCGGCUCAUCGCAUCCUGGGGCUGAAGUAGGUCCCAAGGGUUGGGCUGUUCGCCCAUUAAAGCGGUACGCGAGCUGGGUUCAGAACGUCGUGAGACAGUUCGGUCCCUAUCUGUCGCGGGCGUAGGAAGUUUGAGGAGAGCUGUCCUUAGUACGAGAGGACCGGGAUGGACGCACCUCUGGUGCACCAGUUGUCACGCCAGUGGCACAGCUGGGUAGCUAUGUGCGGACGGGAUAAGCGCUGAAAGCAUCUAAGCGUGAAGCCCCCUUCAAGAUGAGACUUCCCAUAGCGCAAGCUAGUAAGACCCCUCAUAGACGAUGAGGUUGAUAGGUUCGGUGUGGAAGUGCAGUAAUGCAUGGAGCUGACGAAUACUAAUCGGUCGA
RNAcentral lists this ribosomal RNA (1335 nucleotides) under Brevibacillus laterosporus. RNAcentral describes it as "partial 23S ribosomal RNA". It matches the Rfam family "Bacterial large subunit ribosomal RNA", at positions 1579 to 2912 of the family's 2925-position model. Lineage: Bacteria; Bacillati; Bacillota; Bacilli; Caryophanales; Paenibacillaceae. The record is from RNAcentral.